GAUGAACGCUGGCGGCGUGCCUAAUACAUGCAAGUCGAGCGAACAGACGAGGAGCUUGCUCCGCGGACGUGAGCGGCGGACGGGUGAGAAACACGUGUAUAACCUACCUAUAAGAGGGGGAUAACUACGGGAAACCGGAGCUAAUACCGGAGAAUAUAUUGAACCGCAGGGGGCAAUAGUGAAAGACGGUGUUGGUGUCACGUAUAGAUGGAUCCGCGCCGCAUUCGCUGGUUGGUAAGGUAACGGCUUACUAAGGCGACGAUGCGUAGGCGACCUGAGGGGGGGGUCGCCCACCCUGGAGCUGGACCGCGGUCCUGGCUCCUACGGGAGGCCGCAGUAGGCAACCGUCCGCAACGGGGGGAAGUCUGGCGGAGCAAGCGCGCGUGAGUUAUAGCGGUCUCCGGAUCGUGAUGCCCUCUUACUAGUGAAGAACCAAUGUCUAAGUAACUGUGCACUUAUUGACGGUAACUAAUAAGAAAGCACCGGCUAACUACGUG
RNAcentral lists this ribosomal RNA (497 nucleotides) under uncultured bacterium. RNAcentral's name for it is "partial 16S ribosomal RNA". It matches the Rfam family "Bacterial small subunit ribosomal RNA", at positions 28 to 507 of the family's 1533-position model. The record is from RNAcentral.